UGGGGAAUUUUGGACAAUGGGCGCAAGCCUGAUCCAGCCAUACCGCGUGAGUGAAGAAGGCCUUCGGGUUGUAAAGCUCUUUCAGACGGAAAGAAACGGUCGCGGCCAAUACCCGCGACUAAUGACGGUACCGUAGGAAGAAGCACCGGCUAACUACGUGCCAGCAGCCGCGGUAAUACGUAGGGUGCGAGCGUUAAUCGGAAUUACUGGGCGUAAAGCGUGCGCAGGCGGUUUGGUAAGACAGAUGUGAAAUCCCCGGGCUUAACCUGGGAACUGCAUUUGUGACUGCCAGACUAGAGUGUAGCAGAGGGGGGUAGAAUUCCACGUGUAGCAGUGAAAUGCGUAGAUAUGUGGAGGAAUACCGAUGGCGAAGGCAGCCCCCUGGGCUAACACUGACGCUCAUGCACGAAAGCGUGGGGAGCAAACAGGAUUAGAUACCCCAGUAGUCCCUGAGCGGGCUGGCAAGGCGCAU
Molecule: ribosomal RNA, 472 nt
Filed under: uncultured bacterium
Lineage: Bacteria
Description: bacterial SSU rRNA
Rfam family: Bacterial small subunit ribosomal RNA
Source: RNAcentral